AACGAACGCUGGCGGCAUGCCUAACACAUGCAAGUCGAACGAGAUCUUCGGGGCUAGUGGCGCACGGGUGCGUAACGCGUGGGAAACUUCCCCCAGGGUCGGAAUAACCAUUGGAAACGAUGGCUAAUACCGGAUGAUGACGUUAAGUCCAAAGAUUUAUCGCCUGAGGAUGAGCCCGCGUAGGAUUAGCUAGUUGGUGUGGUAAAGGCGCACCAAGGCGACGAUCCUUAGCUGGUCUGAGAGGAUGAUCAGCCACACUGGGACUGAGACACGGCCCAGACUCCUACGGGAGGCAGCAGUGGGGAAUAUUGGACAAUGGGCGAAAGCCUGAUCCAGCAAUGCCGCGUGAGUGAUGAAGGCCUUAGGGUUGUAAAGCUCUUUUACCCGGGAUGAUAAUGACAGUACCGGGAGAAUAAGCUCCGGCUAACUCCGUG
This 434-nucleotide ribosomal RNA is filed under the name uncultured bacterium. RNAcentral describes it as "partial 16S ribosomal RNA". It matches the Rfam family "Bacterial small subunit ribosomal RNA", at positions 29 to 507 of the family's 1533-position model. The record is from RNAcentral.